Molecule: unclassified non-coding RNA, 1572 nt
Filed under: Hevea brasiliensis (rubber tree)
Lineage: Eukaryota; Viridiplantae; Streptophyta; Magnoliopsida; Malpighiales; Euphorbiaceae
Source: RNAcentral
GACAAUAUUGAAGUAUCAGCAAUCGCAGCUGGCUAAUCCUCCAGCCCGUGGCCUUGGUCCCGGAAUUGGAACUAGUUCUGGACUUCCCCCUGCUAUUGCCAGUGCAGAUAGACAGACAGGUAGUUCCUGUGUUUCUUCCUCCCGAAGAAUGAGUUCUAUUUUAUCUAAAGCUUUUUGCUUAAGGUGGAGUGUACCUUUGGAAGAUUUUUUAUUUUUUUUGCUUGCAUGGGAAUGUUGCAGAUUCUUUUAGUUAAUUUUUAACCCUUUUUUUUUUUUUAAAUACAAGUUAAAUAAUAUUAUAAUGAACAUCUCUUCUUACUUUAGCAAAUUAGUAUAUCCAGUACUAAACUUUAUCCAGUACUAAACUUAUAAUUAGUAUAUCGUUUGUUAAAAAAGUUUGGUCUAAAAAUAAGUUUGCUAGGCCCAUAAACAUCUGAGAUUGCUUCUUUGAGAAAUAAAAUAAUGAGUAAAGGAACCAUUUGAUGUGUUCAAAAGGUUGGCCAGGUUCAAGCCAGGCCAAUAUUUAUGAACCUCGGCCACAUCAAUUAUUCAGGCCCAGAUAUUUGCUGGAUCCUGGUCCAUAUGGUUAAAAAAUAAAAAUAUUUAUAUUUUAUUAAAUGGGUUAGCUAGGUUGGGUUGGCACAAUAUGAACUGGAAUCCCAAACCUGGUCCACCAUUAAGCUGGGCUAGGGCCAUUGGCAUAACCUCCUACCAAUGUCCAGCUUAUUUUGGACUCUGAACUAGUGCCUAUUAAUUUAGACUCAUCCUUCAUGAUGGCAAGACAAAAUUACAACUAGAGUUUGUGGUUAUGUUGUAUAUGUAUUUGCUUGGUAUGAAAUGAAUUGAGCCUACUUAUUCAUCACAUGAACCUGUACAGGUAAUCUGCAAUCGAUAAAGAUUAUCUGGUCUUGUGAUGCCAAGUGGUAAAGAAAAGUUGGUUUUUGCCUUACAUCUGCUUGUGGUUUACACUUCUUUCUACUCGUUCCAGGUGGGGAACAAGUUGGUCAGUCGAUAGAUUCUGCUCGUCGUAGACUUUCAGGACCUAUCCUAAAUGCCGGAAGUUAUGCAAUGCAGAAGAAUCCAGUUGCCAAUGAUUCUCCAGUUAGUAAGGACCCUAUGGUAUGUUGUCGAGGGUUAUUCUUCUCCAAUAUUGGUUUGGGUGACAAAUUCUGUAAAGCUCCAUUUACUGUCUUGUGAUGUACAAUUACUCUUCAUUAAUACUAGAUGCAUGUGAAACUUGAAUCCUGCUUAUAUGUGCUUUCAUGUGACCACCACAGGUUAACUUGCAUCCAGCUUGGCUUCAUUAUUUGUAGCAUUCACUUGAACUUGUUUUUACGAUUCCAUUGCAUAAUCAAGCCAUUAACAAGUGCUUUGUAGGUCAAUCAUUACUGACUUGAAUUAAGUUGAUUUUGAUUUUGCACAAUGAUUCUAUUCUUGCUGUAACUUAAAACUCUUUUACCUUUAUGGAUUUGCAUACAAGCCAACAUCUUCUUGGAUUUGCAUACAAGCCAACAUUCUUUGGUGUUUUGCAUUCCGUAUUAUAUCUGAUCUGCAUUAUGCUACAAUGAUGCA